Molecule: unclassified non-coding RNA, 312 nt
Filed under: plant metagenome
Description: partial contains small subunit ribosomal RNA, internal transcribed spacer 1, and 5.8S ribosomal RNA
Source: RNAcentral
UUUCCGUAGGUGAACCUGCGGAAGGAUCAUUAUUGAAUACGUUUGGUUCUGAUGCUGGCUCUUCACUGAGCAUGUGCUCGAUCCAUAACUAUUUAUCUUCUCUUGUGCACCUUUUGUAGUCUUUCAGAGCAAGUGAUAACUCUCGCAGCAAUGCGGUUUGGGGGACUUGGGCGUGAGCCCUUCCCCUGCGUUUGCUUCUUUGGAGGGCUAUGUUUUCAUAUACACUAUAACGUUACAGAAUGUCUUUUAAAGAUUGUGCUAGUCGCAGUCAUUAAACCUAUACAACUUUCAGCAACGGAUCUCUUGGCUCUC